This 376-nucleotide unclassified non-coding RNA is filed under the name uncultured Bacteroidia bacterium. Its description in RNAcentral is "contains 16S-23S intergenic spacer region". The record is from RNAcentral. Lineage: Bacteria; Pseudomonadati; Bacteroidota; Bacteroidia.
UCGCGUCUUACGACGGCAGUUUCACUAGAGUUCCCAGCGUUACCUGAUGGCAACUAGUGAUGGGGGUUGCGCUCGUUGCGGGACUUAACCCAACACCUCACGGCACGAGCUGACGACAGCCAUGCAGCACCUUACUAGCGGUGUAUUGCUACAAAGAUAGCUUUCACUACCGGUCCACUAGCAUUCUAGCCCAGGUAAGGUUCUUGGCGUUGCGUCCAAUUAAACCACAUGCUCCGCUGCUUGUGCGGGCCCCCGUCAAUUCCUUUGAGUUUCACCCUUGCGGGCGUACUCCCCAGGUGGAUUACUUAACGCUUUCGCUAAGACGCCGACGGUCUGUCGCCGACAUCGAGUAAUCAUCGUUUACGGCGUGGACUAC